Molecule: ribosomal RNA, 368 nt
Filed under: uncultured organism
Description: bacterial SSU rRNA
Rfam family: Bacterial small subunit ribosomal RNA
Source: RNAcentral
CGGAGGGUGCAAGCGUUAUCCGGAUUCACUGGGUUUAAAGGGUGCGUAGGUGGGCAAGUAAGUCAGUGGUGAAAUCUCCGGGCUUAACCCGGAAACUGCCAUUGAUACUAUUUGUCUUGAAUACUGUGGAGGUCAGCGGAAUAUGUCAUGUAGCGGUGAAAUGCUUAGAUAUGACAUAGAACACCAAUUGCGAAGGCAGCUGGCUACACAAAUGUUGACACUGAGGCACGAAAGCGUGGGGAUCAAACAGGAUUAGAUACCCUGGUAGUCCACGCCCUAAACUAUGGAUACUCGACAUUUGCGAUAAACUGCAAGUGUCUGAGCGAAAGCAUUAAGUAUCCCACCUGGGAAGUACGAUCGCAAGAUUG